This 1366-nucleotide unclassified non-coding RNA is filed under the name Hevea brasiliensis (rubber tree). Lineage: Eukaryota; Viridiplantae; Streptophyta; Magnoliopsida; Malpighiales; Euphorbiaceae. The record is from RNAcentral.
UAAAAACCCUCGCACAAAAACCCUUCCUCCACUGAUAAACCUCUCGAUCUGCAGCUAAGAUUCAAGAAACACCAACGAUGGAAACUCAUGCUGACGGCACAGAUGAAAUUGCCGCCGUGGAGGAGCUACGGCAACAGCACGAAACCCGUAUACAGACCCUACACAACGCUCAAUUGGAACUCAUCGCCUCACUGCAAAACAUAGUUCCUGAUAUAGUCUCUUCACUCGACCUCUCUCUUAAGACCAUUUCAGCCUUCAAUGGAAAACCCUUCACCCCUUUACCCAGCCCACUCCCUAAUGCCCCCAACCAUAACCCUAAUUUACUCGUCCCAAAGAUCAAUUCCUGUUCUGGUAAACGUGUUUCAGAACUUUCUAGAAGUGGUAGUGAGAAGGAGAAAAUGGUAAUUGAUGAAUGUGGGGGACCUUUGUCGGUUGUAAGGGCGAUGGUUGCAGUUUGUUUGUUAGAGAGAGUGCCGUUUACUGCUAUUGAUUCGUCUACUUUGUUAAGGAAGUUAGAGAAUGAUCAGUCGCAUACGGCUGCUGAAAAGGCAGCGAUUAGGGAGCUCGGAGGCGAGUCGGGGGCGAUAGUGGCAGUGGAAAUGGCAUUGAAAUCGAUGGCGGAGGAUAAUGGUUGUGUAGAAUUGGAGAAUUUUGUGGUUAGCGGGAAAUCUAGGAUUAUGGUGUUGAAUAUUGAUAGAACUAGGCUAUUGAAAGAAUUGCCGGAAAGUAAGCAGACUGAGGGAAGUGUUGGUGGAGGAAACCGGAAUAAUCAGGAAAUAAUGAAAAGAGGGAUUGAUAAUGGAGGUGCUUUUGGAAUGGGAAGGGGAAUGAGUGAAAUGUGGGAGCAUCCACAUAUGCAGGGGAUGACAGCUAUGUUUCCCGGGAAUAUGGGCGGUCCAAGAGGAGGGCAUAGAGGAAUGGUGGGUAUGAUGGGGAUGCCGAGAGGUGUUGGUGUUCCACCUCCUAUGCAUAGACCACCAAUGGGACCAAAUGGGCAAAUAGGAGGAGGAGGGAAUUCUAUUGCUUUAAAACCUAGGUCAGAAGAAGAUGAGCUGAAGGAUUUAGAGAAAAUGUUGAACAAGAAAAGUUUUAAGGAAAUGCAGAAAUCGAAAACCGGAGAGGAGUUAUUGGACCUUAUUCAUCGUCCGACUGCAAAGGAAUCUGCCGUCGCUGCAAAGUUCAAAAGCAAAGGUGGUUCCCAGGUGAAGGAAUAUUGUUCAGCUUUAACAAAGGAAGAUUGUCGACGCCAAGCUGGUUCCUACAUUGCUUGUGAUAAGGUUCAUUUUCGGCGAAUAAUUGCUGUGCAUACUGAUGUCAACUUGGGUGAUUGCUCUUUUCUUGAUACUUGCCGUCACAUGAAGACAUG